AGAGUUGUAUCCUGGCUCAGGAUGAACGCUAGCGGCAGGCCUAACACAUGCAAGUCGAGGGGUAGAAUGUCUUCGGAUGUUUGAGACCGGCGCACGGGUGCGUAACGCGUAUGCAACCUACCUCUUACUGGGGAAUAGCCCGGAGAAAUUCGGAUUAAUGCCCCAUAUGCUCGUACGACCUCAUGGUCGAGCGAGGAAAGCUCCGGCGGUAAGAGAUGGGCAUGCGUCCUAUUAGCUUGUUGGUGAGGUAACGGCUCACCAAGGCUACGAUAGGUAGGGGGCCUGAGAGGGUGACCCCCCACACUGGUACUGAGACACGGACCAGACUCCUACGGGAGGCAGCAGUGAGGAAUAUUGGGCAAUGGAGGAAACUCUGACCCAGCCAUGCCGCGUGCAGGAAGACGGCCCUAUGGGUUGUAAACUGCUUUUGUACGAGAAUAAACCUUUCCACGUGUGGAAAGCUGAAGGUACCGUACGAAUAAGGAUCGGCUAACUCCGUGCCAGCAGCCGCGGUAAUACGGAGGAUCCAAGCGUUAUCCGGAUUUAUUGGGUUUAAAGGGUCCGUAGGCGGGUCUUUAAGUCAGUGGUGAAAGCCUGCAGCUUAACUGUAGAAUUGCCAUUGAUACUGGAGACCUUGAGUGUAGUAGAAGUAGGC
Molecule: ribosomal RNA, 655 nt
Filed under: uncultured Bacteroidota bacterium
Lineage: Bacteria; Pseudomonadati; Bacteroidota
Description: bacterial SSU rRNA
Rfam family: Bacterial small subunit ribosomal RNA
Source: RNAcentral